RNAcentral lists this ribosomal RNA (899 nucleotides) under uncultured Actinomycetes bacterium. RNAcentral describes it as "bacterial SSU rRNA". It matches the Rfam family "Bacterial small subunit ribosomal RNA", at positions 69 to 959 of the family's 1533-position model. The record is from RNAcentral. Lineage: Bacteria; Bacillati; Actinomycetota; Actinomycetes.
GUCUCUCCUUGGAGAGAUAGUGGCGGACGGGUGAGUAACACGUUAGAUGACUUGCCUUUUGGUGGGGAAUAACUCCUCGAAAGAGGAGCUAAUACCGCAUAGCUUCUGUGUUGUUGGACAUAGAAGAAAGCUUUCGCUUCGCGAGAAGCGGAGGCGCCGAAGGAGGGGUCUGCGGCGGAUUAGCUAGUUGGUGGGGUAACGGCUCACCAAGGCGACGAUCCGUAGCUGGUCUGAGAGGACGGCCAGCCACACUGGGACUGAGACACGGCCCAGACUCCUACGGGAGGCAGCAGUAAGGAAUAUUCCACAAUGGGCGCAAGCCUGAUGGAGCGACGCCGCGUGAGGGACGAAGCCCCUUGGGGUGUAAACCUCUUUUUUGGGGGAUGAAACGAUGGGGUAACCCAUCUAAGACAGUACCCCAAGAAUAAGCAUCGGCUAACUACGUGCCAGCAGCCGCGGUAAUACGUAGGAUGCAAGCGUUGUCCGGAUUUACUGGGCGUAAAGCGCGCGCAGGCGGCACUGCAAGUAAGGUGUGAAAUCUCCAUGCUAAACGUGGAGGGUGCACCUUAGACUGCGGAGCUAGAGGUCGGUAGAGGGGGUGGAAUUGCUGGUGUAGCGGUGAAAUGCGUAGAGAUCAGCAGGAACACCCGUGGCGAAGGCGGCCCCCUGGGCCGUACCUGACGCUGAGGCGCGAAGGCUAGGGGAGCGAACGGGAUUAGAUACCCCGGUAGUCCUAGCAGUAAACGAUGGCCACUAGGUGUGGGGGGGGUGUUGACCCCUUCCGUGCCGAAGCUAACGCAUUAAGUGGCCCGCCUGGGGAGUACGGUCGCAAGACUAAAACUCAAGGGAAUUGACGGGGACCCGCACAACCAGCGGAGCGUGUGGUUUAUUCGAUGCGA